Molecule: long non-coding RNA, 1497 nt
Organism: Rana temporaria (common frog)
Lineage: Eukaryota; Metazoa; Chordata; Amphibia; Anura; Ranidae
Exons: 2
Source: RefSeq, a predicted model, not a curated record
UUAAAUUGUACCUUGACUUUUAAAUAUUAGUAUUUAUCGAGUCUAUAUUACAGUGUAUUAGUACAUUACGAUGUAAACCCAUAGCAAGAUUUAAAUUUUCAAGUUAAAGUGGUUGUAAACCAAAGACAUGGAAUAUGCACAAAUCAUCCCCCUAUUGUGCUCUAUAGUGCUUACUUGGCUCGAUUCAGAGCACAAAGGCAGGCCAUUCCCGCCAGGAGAAGACGGUGAUUAUUACUAGCAGCUAUAUCAGCUGCUAGAGAUAAUUGUAUGUAAAAUCUGUCAGGCUGGUUGUACCCAAGUUGAUCAAUUGAUCAACUUGGUACAUUCAGCUUACCUAAUAUGGUUUGACUUUUGUCUGGUUCCUGCUAAACCGGCCGAGAUUCGAACCAUUUAUGGCUGGCCUAAGUGUCAUUUCUGUCUACUGCUUUUCUUCUCUGAUAUCUGCAUGAGACACCUCUGACAAGUUUUUCUGACACCAAGAGAAAAAUGGUGACAGGGGAUGGAUCUCCAGCUGAUUGAUAGCUUCAACUCUGUUUCUGUGUGCUGCAUAAAGGGGGUGGCCUUUCCCUUCCAAUUAGCUGUCAGAACUCUCUUCACUGAGCUCUGAAGAGUGUACUUUCCAAUAACCACCCCCUGUUUUCUGGCAGCUCAGACAGACUUUAUAAAUUCUGGACUUUGAACAGAUGUAGAGAAGCGAAGACUGCAGAUAAACAUGCAUAAUAAGGCACCUGCCGGAAAAGUUAGGAACGAGGGUUGGGAUUUGAUUAAGCAGCAUCUCACUUCUGAGAAAAGAUUCGCUUUACCGCUGCAUCAGAAGCUGUAUUUAUAUAUUAAAAAGCUACUUGGUGAGAAAAUAUAAUGUACCUUCAUCCUAUUACUAGAUAAGAAGCUGCAUUUAUUAUAUAAUAAGGCUGUGAUUUUAACUUUCCAAACAUAGACGAACAUAAAAUAUUGGCAAAAAGGGUUAGAAAGUCAGAACCCAAAAAUUUGAAAAAAACAAAACCUUUUAAUUUUUGUCAUUAAAAUUAGAUUCAGAUUAUCUUUUCCGAUAAGAAAAUCUUACAUCAAAAGCAUAUAAAGCCCCACCUACAGAAUAGCUAAAAUAUGUGUAUACAAUAUAUAAUAUCUAUAAUAGCUCUGAACUUUAUAAAGAAAUCCAUCAUGCGGCAUCAUGUGGCAAACCUGUUAUCCUGUCCAAUACCUACUUCAGCCUCAGUAAAGAGUGGAAGCUGGAUUAACAAAACAUACGCGACAGAGCAGCGUCUAUGGAUGUUUUAAUUCUCCAACAUAUGGCUAUAUACUGAUUCGGGUAUGGUGAAACACCUAUUCAGCUUAUUUGCUUGUAGGAAGCUAUUGGGACAGAUACUUAUCCCAGUCAGUAAAGUAUUGUAAAGACAGAUUUCUUUCAAAACUCACAACUGGAAUUCAUAUUAUAUUUGUUAGAACAUUAUUAAAUGCACUUUAAAUAAAACUAGCUCGAACCUGAAUCUAUCUUUA